AGUGAACGCUGGCGGUAGGCCUAACACAUGCAAGUCGAACGGCAGCACAGUAAGAGCUUGCUCUUACGGGUGGCGAGUGGCGGACGGGUGAGGAAUACAUCGGAAUCUACUUUUUCGUGGGGGAUAACGUAGGGAAACCUACGCUAAUACCGCAUACGACCUACGGGUGAAAGCAGGGGAUCUUCGGACCUUGCGCGAUUGAAUGAGCCGAUGUCGGAUUAGCUAGUUGGCGGGGUAAAGGCCCACCAAGGCGACGAUCCGUAGCUGGUCUGAGAGGAUGAUCAGCCACACUGGAACUGAGACACGGUCCAGACUCCUACGGGAGGCAGCAGUGGGGAAUAUUGGACAAUGGGGGCAAGCCUGAUCCAGCCAUACCGCGUGGGUGAAGAAGGCCUUCGGGUUGUAAAGCCCUUUUGUUGGGAAAGAAAAGCAGCAGGUUAAUACCCCGCUGUUCUGACGGUACCCAAAGAAUAAGCACCGGCUAACUUCGUG
RNAcentral lists this ribosomal RNA (492 nucleotides) under uncultured bacterium. Its description in RNAcentral is "partial 16S ribosomal RNA". It matches the Rfam family "Bacterial small subunit ribosomal RNA", at positions 29 to 507 of the family's 1533-position model. The record is from RNAcentral.